RNAcentral lists this transfer RNA (94 nucleotides) under Deltaproteobacteria bacterium. RNAcentral's name for it is "tRNA-Ser". It matches the Rfam family "tRNA". From Rfam's summary of the family: Transfer RNA (tRNA) molecules are approximately 80 nucleotides in length. Their secondary structure includes four short double-helical elements and three loops (D, anti-codon, and T loops). Lineage: Bacteria; Pseudomonadati; Myxococcota; Myxococcia. The record is from RNAcentral. RNAcentral also lists the same sequence under 1 other name.
GGAGAGAUGUCCGAGCGGCCGAAGGAGCACGACUGGAAAUCGUGUGUUCCGCUAAAAAGCGGAACCGAGGGUUCAAAUCCCUCUCUCUCCGCCA